CGGGGGACCUUUGGGCGGUGCGAAGGUGGCGUGGGAGGCGGUGAAAAAGAUCAACGUUUUUUCAACUUUAUUCAAAUCGCUUGCGGCGACCGCUGGGCUAAGACCAAUCAUAUCGAUUGGUUCCCAUGACGAAUUUGACUCCAUGCGACCCAAGGCUGGAGACUUUCUUCAGCAAAGAUGGCUGACAAAAAUGCUAUGAUGGAAGCACAUGGACUCCUGAAACAACCAGCAAACCAGGCUGUCGUCUUGUGAAACAUGUAAUUGUCAAUACCUUCUGAUGUAAAUAAUCUAGCUAGCUAAAGCAUUUACUGCAAAUUGAAUGUACAAUUUUGUAUGCUUGCCUUGCUGAUAUUUGCCAUGCAAUGGAGAUAGAUGAAAUAACGUAUGUUCUUGUUUAUUGUGCAGUGGAGGAUUAAAAAAAAGGACCUGUAUGUAUGCUUAUGGAAAAAGACCUGUAUGCCUAUGGAUGUGUAGCUAGUUAUGUAGCCGAUCUGUGUAUGGUCCAUAAAACAUUUGGUAUACAUAUUAGUUCAGAACCUAGCUAUGAACCUCAGCUAUCAUAACCAGUUCUAUCAACUUCAAAACAGUCUGAAUGACAUUAAUGAAACCCAUGGAUUACCAAAGUCUAAUGGUUUUAAAUGACUGCUUUGUAUUGUCUAGAAACUCACUUGUAGAUUUCGCUUGCAGUAGGUCUCUUAAAAAAGAGAAGCCGUGCAAGGUUAUUAAACAGAUGUGCCUAGUUAUUAUUCUUUUGUUGAUAUCAGGUAACGUGCACCUAACCCUGGCCCUGAUAUGCAAUGUUUCCAAAUGUCCCCUCUGAUUUUAAAUCAUGAUCUGGUUUUGGUAUUUUUCAUUUAAAUGUACACAGCCUGUUGUCAAAAAUUAAUGGGGUUAGGAUUUGGGCUAAAUCAACUGAUGCUGAUGUAAUUGUGUUUUCUGAAACCUGGCUCAGCAAGUCUGUUUUUGAUAAUGAUAUUUGUAUUAUGGGUUACAAUGUUUAUCGCACUGAUCGAGAUAAGAAAGGUGGGGGUGUGGCUAUAUGUGUAAAAACGAAAUUCCCUGUAAGUGUGGCAAAGUCUGAAACUAUUUGUAAACAGUUGGAAUUUCUUGCUUUGAAUAUUGAGGUUUCAAAGGGCUUCUCUAUAACUGUGAUUGGCUGUUAUAGACCCCCCUCUGCUCUCGGUGAUGCAUUUUCUUCUCUGAUGAACCUUAUGUCUGAACUUCUUUACAGUGAAAUGAUCUUGAUUGGUGAUCUCAACUGGUGUUGGUUAAAGCCGGUGUCUGAUGAUUUAAAAAUGUUUUGUAAUUCUAUGAAUCUUACCCAGUUGAUUAACUCGCCCAAGUCUUAAAUGCCCAGAAAAAUCUACCCUGAUUGAUUUGAUAUUGACAAAUGUUCCACAUAAAUAUUCUGCGGUUGGUGUUUUUUGUAAUGAUUUAAGUGACAUUUGUGCUGUUGUUGCUGUUAGAAAUACUAAGGUCCCAAAGACAAACCCACGUUUUAUUCGUAAGAGAAAUUUGAAGUGUUUUAAUGAGCAGGCUUUCUUUCAUGAUUUGUUUUAUUUUAACUGGAGCACGAUUGAGCUUAUCCCUGAUGUGGAAACAGCCUGGAAAUUCUUUCAUGAUGGUUUUUCCCAAAUAGUAAACAAACAUGCCCCAUUCCUCAGGUUCAGGGUUAAAGGGCGGGAUAAUC
This is a long non-coding RNA of Oncorhynchus keta (chum salmon), 1690 nucleotides long. RefSeq lists it as uncharacterized. The transcript has 2 exons. Lineage: Eukaryota; Metazoa; Chordata; Actinopteri; Salmoniformes; Salmonidae. The record is from RefSeq and is a predicted model, not a curated record.